UACGGAGGAUGCGAGCGUUAUCCGGAUUUACUGGGUGUAAAGGGAGCGUAGACGGUAAUGUAAGUCUGAUGUGAAAGCCCGGGGCUCAACUGCGGUAGUGCAUUUGGAACUGUAUGGCUGGAGUGCAGGAGAGGCAGGCGGAAUUCCUAGUGUAGCGGUGAAAUGCGUAGAUAUUAGGAGGAACACCAGUGGCGAAGGCGACUUUCUGGACUGUAACUGACGUUGAGGCACGAAAGUGUGGGGAGCAAACAGG
This 253-nucleotide ribosomal RNA is filed under the name uncultured Eubacteriales bacterium. Its description in RNAcentral is "uncultured Clostridiales bacterium partial 16S ribosomal RNA". It matches the Rfam family "Bacterial small subunit ribosomal RNA", at positions 524 to 776 of the family's 1533-position model. Lineage: Bacteria; Bacillati; Bacillota; Clostridia; Eubacteriales. The record is from RNAcentral.